Molecule: small RNA, 69 nt
Filed under: Bifidobacterium reuteri DSM 23975
Lineage: Bacteria; Bacillati; Actinomycetota; Actinomycetes; Bifidobacteriales; Bifidobacteriaceae
Description: Transposase-2 RNA
Rfam family: Transposase-2 RNA
Source: Rfam by way of RNAcentral
GAAACGCGAACCAAGCAGCCGCACACGCGGCGUGAGACUUGGAGCGGACACUCGCAAGAGCGUCCUGCA